Molecule: microRNA precursor, 50 nt
Filed under: Ciona intestinalis (vase tunicate)
Lineage: Eukaryota; Metazoa; Chordata; Ascidiacea; Phlebobranchia; Cionidae
Description: microRNA cin-mir-4039 precursor
Source: miRBase by way of RNAcentral
UAUAUGAAGAUGUAAGCUAUUCUAUAUUGAAUAGUUUGUUUCUUUGUAUU